Molecule: unclassified non-coding RNA, 202 nt
Filed under: uncultured fungus
Lineage: Eukaryota; Fungi
Description: sequence contains ITS1, 5.8S rRNA gene
Source: RNAcentral
CUGAAUUUAAUUCCGGGGUUGUAGCUGGCCAUUGUUUUGGCAUGUGCACACCUUGGUAUAAUCCAAAUUCAUUCACACCUCUGUGCACCAUUUCGUGGGAUUGAAGGGUAAUGAAGGAAUUGCUUUCUUUGCCUGAAUUUCCCAUGUCUUCUUAUAUACUCUGCAGUUUUAGAAUGUUAAUUGCGUUGAACGCAUUUAUAUA